CAGAGAUGGCUGAGCUGGUCUAAGGCGCACGACUGGAAAUCGUGUAUACCAGGAAUGGUAUCGAGGGUUCGAAUCCCUCUCUCUGC
RNAcentral lists this transfer RNA (86 nucleotides) under bovine gut metagenome. It matches the Rfam family "tRNA". Rfam says of the family: Transfer RNA (tRNA) molecules are approximately 80 nucleotides in length. Their secondary structure includes four short double-helical elements and three loops (D, anti-codon, and T loops). The record is from RNAcentral.